Molecule: ribosomal RNA, 737 nt
Filed under: uncultured Acinetobacter sp.
Lineage: Bacteria; Pseudomonadati; Pseudomonadota; Gammaproteobacteria; Moraxellales; Moraxellaceae
Description: bacterial SSU rRNA
Rfam family: Bacterial small subunit ribosomal RNA
Source: RNAcentral
AGAGUUUGAUCAUGGCUCAGAUUGAACGCUGGCGGCAGGCUUAACACAUGCAAGUCGAGCGGGGAAAAGUAGCUUGCUACUUAACUUAGCGGCGGACGGGUGAGUAAUACUUAGGAAUCUGCCUAUUAGUGGGGGACAACAUCUCGAAAGGGAUGCUAAUACCGCAUACGUCCUACGGGAGAAAGCAGGGGAUCACUUGUGACCUUGCGCUAAUAGAUGAGCCUAAGUCAGAUUAGCUAGUUGGUGGGGUAAAGGCCUACCAAGGCGACGAUCUGUAACGGGUCUGAGAGGAUGAUCCGUCACACUGGGACUGAGACACGGCCCAGACUCCUACGGGAGGCAGCAGUGGGGAAUAUUGGACAAUGGGGGGAACCCUGAUCCAGCCAUGCCGCGUGUGUGAAGAAGGCCUUUUGGUUGUAAAGCACUUUAAGCGAGGAGGAGGCUCUUCUAGUUAAUACCUAGGAUGAGUGGACGUUACUCGCAGAAUAAGCACCGGCUAACUCUGUGCCAGCAGCCGCGGUAAUACAGAGGGUGCAAGCGUUAAUCGGAUUUACUGGGCGUAAAGGGUACGUAGGUGGUCUAUUAAGUCGGAUGUGAAAUCCCUGAGCUUAACUUAGGAAUUGCAUUCGAUACUGAGAGACUAGAGUAUGGGAGAGGAUGGUAGAAUUCCAGGUGUAGCGGUGAAAUGCGUAGAGAUCUGGAGGAAUACCGAUGGCGAAGGCAGCCAUCUGGCCUAA